RNAcentral lists this ribosomal RNA (465 nucleotides) under uncultured bacterium. Its description in RNAcentral is "partial 16S ribosomal RNA". It matches the Rfam family "Bacterial small subunit ribosomal RNA", at positions 28 to 507 of the family's 1533-position model. The record is from RNAcentral.
GAUGAACGCUGGCGGCGUGCUUAACACAUGCAAGUCGAACGGAAAGGCUCCUGCUUGCAGUGGUACUCGAGUGGCGAACGGGUGAGUAACACGUGGGUGAUCUGCCCUGCACUUCGGGAUAAGCCUGGGCAACUGGGUCUAAUACCGGAUAGGACGAUGGUUUGGAUGCCAUUGUGGAAAGUUUUGCGGUGUGGGAUGAGCUCGCGGCCUAUCAGCUUGUUGGUGGGGUAAUGGCCUACCAAGGCGUCGACGGGUAGCCGGCCUGAGAGGGUGUACGGCCACAUUGGGACUGAGAUACGGCCCAGACUCCUACGGGAGGCAGCAGUGGGGAAUAUGGCACAAUGGGCGCAAGCCUGAUGCAGCGACGCCGCGUGGGGGAUGACGGCCCUCGUGUUGUAAACGCCUUUCGCUAGAGACGAAGCGCAAGUGACGGUACCUGGAGAAGAAGCACCGGCUAACUACGUG